Molecule: non-coding RNA, 180 nt
Filed under: Armatimonadetes bacterium RBG_19FT_COMBO_69_19
Lineage: Bacteria; Bacillati; Armatimonadota
Description: 6S RNA
Rfam family: 6S / SsrS RNA
About the family: E. coli 6S RNA was the first non coding RNA to be sequenced, but its function was unknown until recently. It consists of 184 nucleotides that fold into an extended hairpin structure with a large single-stranded internal bulge.
Source: RNAcentral
GUAUUCCUGCCGUGUGCGUGGAGGAUGUUAGUCCCGAUCCAACACGCACGACCACGGGAGCCCCGCUUCGGCCGCGGAUGGCAGGCCUCAGACGGUAUGAGGAGCUCAGAGGCGGCCGGGAGGGCACCCACCUGCUAUGCAGGUUCGGGGACUACGCCCUUACGGCACGGCGGGAGAUGU